This 1482-nucleotide long non-coding RNA is filed under the name Homo sapiens (human). RNAcentral's name for it is "HSALNT0095565". The record is from RNAcentral. Lineage: Eukaryota; Metazoa; Chordata; Mammalia; Primates; Hominidae.
CCUGAGGCCUGAGAACCAGGAGAGUUGAUAGUGUAAGUUCCAGUCCAAAAGCUGGCAAGCAAACGUCCCAGCUUAAGAAGUCAGGCAGGAGGAGUUCCCUCUUAUUCAGUUUCUUUUUGUUCUAUCCAGGUCUUCAGCUGAUUGAAUGAGACCCACCCGCCUUAGAGAGGGCAAUCUGCAUUACUCAGUCUACCAAUUCAAAUCUAAAUCUCAUCCAGAGUGACCCUUACAGACACAUCCAGGAGAAUGUUUGGCCAAAUAUCUGGAUACCCUGUGCCCAGUCAAGUUAACAGAGGAAGUUAACCAUCACAGAGCCCUUCCUGCCAACUGCAGCAACCACAGGCGGAUACCACUGUGAGCACAGCCCAGAUGUGGGAGCGCGAGUGAGUGGAGAGAAAUGCUGGGAAGACCAGCCGAAGCUUCAAACACAGGGCAGGCCUCCCUCAAGUGGAAACCUGGAGUCGGCGUGGCUGCCGCUCGGCUCUGGUCCUGACCCAGUGAGUGAUAGGCAAGGUACCCACUCUUUCUGGACUCAGUUUCCUUCUCAAGAAUUCGGAGAUAACUGCAGGGCCUUCCUUCUCCGAGGAGUGAGGUAAAUAUGCCAAAGGAAGCUCACUCCAAUGUGGAUAAAGACAAAAGGGUGAAUUGGCUCUGAGAGUCUCAUGGGUUGAAUCUGACUUGUGGACGUUUUUCAAAAAAACCAGCCUGGGCCCGGUGGCUCAUGCCAGUAAUCCCAGCACUUUGGGAGGCCAAGGGGGCCGGAUCACCUGAGGUCAGGAGUUCAAGACCAGCCUGGCCAACAUGGCAAAACCCCGUCUCUAGUAAAAAUACAAAAAUUAGUUGGGUGUGGUGGCGGCUGCCUGUAAUCCUAGCUACUCGGGAGCCUGAGGCAGGAAGAAUUGCUUGAACCCGGGAAGUGGAGGUUGUAGUGAACCAAGAUCAUGCCAUUGUACUCCAGCCUGGGUGACAGAGCGAGACACCAUCUCAAAAAAAACAAAACCAAAUGUUCCCCAAAUUUAAAUUAGUUGCUAAUAUUAAAAAACAAAGAGGUUUUACUUUUUAAAAAAUUCAGAUACCCAAGAAUUGGAAAAUCUGACAUCAGACAGGUUGCAUCCCCAAAGGGUACAAUGAACCAAAGCUAAGUACUGGCUAGCACUGACUUUAGACAGGGCAGAAUCUUACCAGUUUACCACAGUCUCCACCACUCUCUGUUGUCAACCCUAUUUUACAUUCAUCAUUAUCUAAAUGUAACUUAAGUAUUUUAUUUGAUUUUUCAUAUGUCAAAAUUAUAAGGUUUCCUUCCAGAUUUCCUGUUUGUAAAAUUUCACAUAGUUCAUUAAAGCUGAGCUUAGAGGAUGUUCUCGCUUUGCAGAUACUUUGUGUGUAUGUUAGUUUGUUGACUGGAUAAUCCUGGUUCUUAUAAACUUUUGGGUUUGGAGUUUUUACCAUAACUCCAGAGGUAGCUGGCCAGCCUGAGAAGUG